UACGGAGGGUGCGAGCGUUAUCCGGAAUCACUGGGUUUAAAGGGUGCGCAGGCGGUCCGUCAAGUCAGUCGUGAAAUGCCCCGGCUCAACCGGGGAGCUGCGAUUGAUACUGUCGGACUUGAAUCAGGUUGAGGCGGGCGGAAUGUGGCAUGUAGCGGUGAAAUGCUUAGAUAUGCCAUAGAACACCGAUUGCGAAGGCAGCUCGCUGGGCCUCGAUUGACGCUGAGGCACGAAAGCGUGGGGAGCAAACAGG
Molecule: ribosomal RNA, 253 nt
Filed under: uncultured bacterium
Lineage: Bacteria
Description: partial 16S ribosomal RNA
Rfam family: Bacterial small subunit ribosomal RNA
Source: RNAcentral